This 389-nucleotide ribosomal RNA is filed under the name uncultured eukaryote. RNAcentral's name for it is "partial 18S ribosomal RNA". It matches the Rfam family "Eukaryotic small subunit ribosomal RNA", at positions 592 to 976 of the family's 1831-position model. The record is from RNAcentral.
CAAUAGCGUAUAUUAACGUUGUUGCAGUUAAAAAGCUCGUAGUUGGAUUUCUGGUGGGGGUCGCUGGUCCGCUGCGAAAGCGGCGUGUACCGAUGCGUACCUACCGCCAUCCUCGGGGGAACUGCGUGUGGGAUUAGUUUCUCGUGCGUAUGGACGCCCGUCAUUUACUGUGAAAAAAUUAGAGUGUUCAAAGCAGGCUUAGGCCGUUGAAUACAUUAGCAUGGAAUAAUAAGAUAGGACCUUGGCGGUCUAUUUUGUUGGUUUGCACGCCAAGGUAAUGAUUAAUAGGGAUAGUUGGGGGUAUUCGUAUUCAAUUGUCAGAGGUGAAAUUCUUAGAUUUAUGGAAGACGAACUACUGCGAAAGCAUUUACCAAGGAUGUUUUCAUUAA